ACCAGGAUGGCUGAGUGGUUAAGGGGUUAGCCUUAGGAUCUGAUGUCUGUGUGGGUUCAAGCCCUGCUCCUGGUA
Molecule: transfer RNA, 75 nt
Filed under: Scleropages formosus (Asian bonytongue)
Lineage: Eukaryota; Metazoa; Chordata; Actinopteri; Osteoglossiformes; Osteoglossidae
Rfam family: tRNA
About the family: Transfer RNA (tRNA) molecules are approximately 80 nucleotides in length. Their secondary structure includes four short double-helical elements and three loops (D, anti-codon, and T loops).
Source: Rfam by way of RNAcentral